This 492-nucleotide ribosomal RNA is filed under the name uncultured bacterium. RNAcentral describes it as "partial 16S ribosomal RNA". It matches the Rfam family "Bacterial small subunit ribosomal RNA", at positions 38 to 507 of the family's 1533-position model. The record is from RNAcentral.
AGGGAAAGAGGGAGGGAGGAAGAAAAAAGGAAAGUGGAAUGGAAGCACAGUAAGAGCUUGCUCUUACGGGUGGCGAGUGGCGGACGGGUGAGGAAUACAUCGGAAUCUACUUUUUCGUGGGGGAUAACGUAGGGAAACUUACGCUAAUACCGCAUACGACCUACGGGUGAAAGCAGGGGAUCUUCGGACCUUGCGCGAUUGAAUGAGCCGAUGUCGGAUUAGCUAGUUGGCGGGGUAAAGGCCCACCAAGGCGACGAUCCGUAGCUGGUCUGAGAGGAUGAUCAGCCACACUGGAACUGAGACACGGUCCAGACUCCUACGGGAGGCAGCAGUGGGGAAUAUUGGACAAUGGGCGCAAGCCUGAUCCAGCCAUACCGCGUGGGUGAAGAAGGCCUUCGGGUUGUAAAGCCCUUUUGUUGGGAAAGAAAAGCAGCAGGUUAAUACCCCGCUGUUCUGACGGUACCCAAAGAAUAAGCACCGGCUAACUUCGUA